Molecule: ribosomal RNA, 255 nt
Filed under: uncultured bacterium
Lineage: Bacteria
Description: partial 16S ribosomal RNA
Rfam family: Bacterial small subunit ribosomal RNA
Source: RNAcentral
UACGAAGGGUGCAAGCGUUACUCGGAAUUACUGGGCGUAAAGCGUGCGUAGGUGGUUUGUUAAGUCUGAUGUGAAAGCCCUGGGCUCAACCUGGGAAUUGCAUUGGAUACUGGCAGGCUAGAGUGCGGUAGAGGAUGGCGGAAUUCCCGGUGUAGCAGUGAAAUGCGUAGAGAUCGGGAGGAACAUCUGUGGCGAAGGCGGCGACCUGGUCCGAGACUGACGCUGAGGCGCGAAAAGCGUGGGGGAGCAAACAGG